Molecule: ribosomal RNA, 494 nt
Filed under: uncultured bacterium
Lineage: Bacteria
Description: partial 16S ribosomal RNA
Rfam family: Bacterial small subunit ribosomal RNA
Source: RNAcentral
GACGAACGCUGGCGGCGCGCUUAACACAUGCAAGUCGAACGGAAAGGCCUGCUUUCCCUUGUGGAUUGCGGGUACUCGAGUGGCGAACGGGUGAGUAACACGUGAGUGAUCUGCCCCCAACUUGGGUAUAAGCCUGGGAAACUGGGUCUAAUUCCCGAUAGGACUGCAGGGUGGUGCCUGUGGUGGAAAACGAUUUUCUAGUGGUUGGGGAUGAGCUCGCGGCCUAUCAGCUUGUUGGUGGGGUAAUGGCCUACCAAGGCGGCGACGGGUAGCCGGCCUGGGAGGGUGGACGGGCACAUUGGGACUGAGAUACGGCCCAGACUCCUACGGGAGGCAGCAGUGGGGAAUAUGGCACAAUGGGCGGAAGCCUGAUGCAGCGACGCCGCGUGGGGGAUGACGGCCUUCGGGUUGUAAACUCCUUUCGACCGCGAGGAAGCCACCUGGUUGGAAGGGUGGUGACGGUAGUGGUAGAAGAAGCACCGGCUAACUACGUG